AACCAUUCUCACCUGCGGCUAGACCUGCGGAGGGAUCAUUACAGAGAUUGAUGCACCAAGUGCAUCACCUCCAACCCCUUGCGAAAACAACUAUCAUGUGUUGCUUUGGCAGUGUUUCCACUGCCAGAGGUUUACAUAAAAUCAGCUGUUGGAUGUUGUCUGAGUAAACUAUAUGAAUUAUUUAAAACUUUUAACAACGGAUCU
This 204-nucleotide unclassified non-coding RNA is filed under the name soil metagenome. RNAcentral's name for it is "partial contains 5.8S ribosomal RNA, internal transcribed spacer 2, and large subunit ribosomal RNA". The record is from RNAcentral.